UUAUGUGAAUUAGGAUGGCUCAUCUAAAUAAUUCCUGAUCAGAGGCUUUAACUAAAGCCAGGAUGGUCUGCCUGGGGCGUGAAGGAGCGGUAAGGUCAGUGAUUUAAAAAGUGCCUUUGUGAAGUCACUUUUAUGGGAGAGGACUGCUACGCCUGUGUUUUCAAAACACUGUCUUUGCCAGCUAGACGUUGCCUUGACCUUACCCGUGGCGGAAGAUACCUCAACUGUCUUGAUUUGCCAAUUAAUUGAUGGGAAACUGAACUCACCGUAAGAGCGGGAAGAAGGAAUUAUUAUUACUGGGACACGAACAAAUGAACGCAUUGCUUUUCUUGUGUAAUCAGUACCAGCAAGCGACCUGCGGCGGACUAAUAUUCCAUCCAAGAGUGCCAUUGCAUUGAAGGACGUGUGCUUGAACCUGGUGCAGCAGUGAUACAGUCAGCAGACCCACACGUUUUACAGACAGAAAUGCUCCUGAGCAUGAUCUUCUUCAGCCAAAAGUCUACAAGCGGGACUUAAUGAUUGAUGAGUAACUGCUCGCUGAUAAACUUUCUCUGUUUAUUCAGUGUUGUGUGAGUUGGACAUCGUUAAUCGUCCUCCCCC
Molecule: long non-coding RNA, 600 nt
Filed under: Gallus gallus (chicken)
Lineage: Eukaryota; Metazoa; Chordata; Aves; Galliformes; Phasianidae
Description: long non-coding RNA NONGGAT001178
Source: RNAcentral